CACUUGCAUUUGAGGUUAUGUUAUAAAAUAUAAAUUUUUUAACAUGAUCGAACCAAAUAUUGUGGAUUUCUUAUUCAACGACGAUGUAAACUUAAACGGCGUAGUGUAUAUUCUAGAUGAUAAUGCGGUUGAUGAUGAGGCCAAUCAUCAUGCGCAGCCUGUGCGUAAUGAAAAUUACGUUGAAGUUACAGUACCCCAGUACACAGUUAGUGAGUUCAAGAAUCACUUUCGAAUGUCCCGGAUGGCAGUGGAGCAGCUAAUAGGUCUUGUUAGUAAUCAUUUACCCGAUAAACAUUCGGUUCCGAUUGAAAAGCAAGUUCUUUUUUCCAUUUGGCUUCUGGCAAAGCAAGAAAGCUUCUUGGCUGUCGGGGACAGAUUUAAUCUGUCGAGUGGAUCAGGCCACUAUAUUUUUAUGAAUUUUAUUUCUGCGGUGGGUCAUUUAACGCACCAAUUUAUUGAGUGGCCAAAUGCGAGAACAUGUAACGAAAUAGCAUCAAGAAUAGAAACAAAAUAUGGCAUACCAGGUGUCGUGGGUGCUAUAGAUGGAACCCACAUACAAAUAAAACAACCAACACAUAACCCCGUAGAUUUCUUUAAUAGAAAAGAUGUACACUCGGUGGUUUUACAAGGAAUUUGCAACGAUAAAUUAAUAUUUACAGAUGUAUAUAUUGGUAUGCCAGGCCGACUGCAUGAUGCGCGAAUUUUUAGAAAUAGCCCAAUCUAUAAUAGACUUGUAAACAAUCCUGCUUUAUUAACACCACAGCAACACUUACUCGGAGAUGCAGCUUAUCCGCUGCUUGAUAAUCUCUUAAAACCAUACAGGGAUAAUGGCCACCUUACAGAAGUACAAAUUCGGUUUAACGAAGUGAUGAGUAGCAUACGGUCGAUGAUCGAAAGGUGCUUUGGUCUAUUGAAAGGAAAAUGGAGAAGACUAAAAUAUCUUGAUAUGUCUCUAGCAGAUAAACUACCUCAAGUUAUAUUGGCAGCUUGUAUUCUGCAUAACUUUAUUCUGAUCAUCGAUAAUGAUGCAGAUAACCAGAAUGACAAUGGUCACAAUGGUGAUGACAUAGGUAUACAGCAUGCAGAAUUUUAUGAGGAAGAUGUUGGAAGAAAUGCAGAAAUAAAAAGAGAUUAUAUAGCUUCACUAUUGUAAUAGAUAACGUGGACCGUUAUUCGAAAAAACGAUGAUGAACUUGACGCAAUUCCUAAGAAUUGGAUUACGUUCCCUAACAUAGCAGUUUAUCCAGACAAGGGAACAGCAACAGUUACCAAAAUGGCAAAGAAUGGGACACCUCCAGAAAGUGAUUGGUUACAAGUGCCAAUCACUGUCGUAAAAGAAAAUUAUGCAAGUUUCGAUCGCUGCAUGAAAGAUGCGAUUCGGUUUGACAGGGGGG
Photinus pyralis (common eastern firefly) is the source of this 1394-nucleotide RNA transcript. It is a transcript of the gene named protein ANTAGONIST OF LIKE HETEROCHROMATIN PROTEIN 1-like, with no coding region annotated. The record is from RefSeq and is a predicted model, not a curated record. Lineage: Eukaryota; Metazoa; Arthropoda; Insecta; Coleoptera; Lampyridae. The transcript is spliced from 5 exons.